GGCGAACGCUGGCGGCGUGCUUAACACAUGCAAGUCGAACGGAAAGGUCCUGCUUUUGUGCGGUUCUCGUGUGGCGAACGGGUGAGUAACACGUGUGUAACCUCUCCUUGUCUUUGUGAUAACUUCAGGAAACUCGGGCUAUUACCGGAUAGGAUCUCCUGCUGCAUGGUGGGGGUUGGUAAGUUUCGGCGGUUGGGGAUGUACUCGCGGCUUAUCAGCUUCUUGGUGGGGUAGUGGCUUACCAAGAGUUUGACGGGUAGCAGGCCUGGGAGGGUGACCGGCCACAUUGGGACUGAGAUACGGCCCAGACUCCUACGGGAGGCAGCAGUGGGGAAUAUUGCACAAUGGGCGGAAGCCUGAUGCAGCAACGCCGCGUGCGGGAUGACGGCCUUCGGGUUGUAAACCGCUUUCGACUGUGACGAAGCGUGAGUGACGGUAAUGGGUAAAGAAGCACCGGCUAACUACGUG
RNAcentral lists this ribosomal RNA (468 nucleotides) under uncultured bacterium. RNAcentral's name for it is "partial 16S ribosomal RNA". It matches the Rfam family "Bacterial small subunit ribosomal RNA", at positions 28 to 507 of the family's 1533-position model. The record is from RNAcentral.